RNAcentral lists this ribosomal RNA (426 nucleotides) under uncultured Rhodocyclaceae bacterium. RNAcentral describes it as "bacterial SSU rRNA". It matches the Rfam family "Bacterial small subunit ribosomal RNA", at positions 356 to 774 of the family's 1533-position model. The record is from RNAcentral. Lineage: Bacteria; Pseudomonadati; Pseudomonadota; Betaproteobacteria; Rhodocyclales; Rhodocyclaceae.
GGGGAAUUUUGGACAAUGGGCGAAAGCCUGAUCCAGCCAUGCCGCGUGAGUGAAGAAGGCCUUCGGGUUGUAAAGCUCUUUCGGCGGGGAAGAAAUCGCAUUCUCUAAUACAGGAUGUGGAUGACGGUACCCGAAUAAGAAGCACCGGCUAACUACGUGCCAGCAGCCGCGGUAAUACGUAGGGUGCGAGCGUUAAUCGGAAUUACUGGGCGUAAAGCGUGCGCAGGCGGUUUCGUAAGACAGACGUGAAAUCCCCGGGCUCAACCUGGGAACUGCGUUUGUGACUGCGAGGCUAGAGUUUGGCAGAGGGGGGUGGAAUUCCACGUGUAGCAGUGAAAUGCGUAGAGAUGUGGAGGAACACCGAUGGCGAAGGCAGCCCCCUGGGCCAAUACUGACGCUCAUGCACGAAAGCGUGGGGAGCAAACA